CCUACGGGAGGCUGCAGUGGGGAAUAUUGGACAAUGGGGGCAACCCUGAUCCAGCCAUGCCGCGUGUGUGAAGAAGGCCCUCGGGUUGUAAAGCACUUUCAGUGAGGAAGAACGCCUGGUGGUUAAUACCCAUCAGGAAAGACAUCACUCACAGAAGAAGCACCGGCUAACUCCGUGCCAGCAGCCGCGGUAAUACGGAGGGUGCGAGCGUUAAUCGGAAUUACUGGGCGUAAAGCGCGCGUAGGUGGCUUGAUAAGCCGGUUGUGAAAGCCCCGGGCUCAACCUGGGAACGGCAUCCGGAACUGUCAAGCUAGAGUGCAGGAGAGGAAGGUAGAAUUCCCGGUGUAGCGGUGAAAUGCGUAGAGAUCGGGAGGAAUACCAGUGGCGAAGGCGGCCUUCUGGACUGUCACUGACACUGAGGUGCGAAAGCGUGGGUAGCAAACAGGAUUAGAUACCCUAGUAGUC
RNAcentral lists this ribosomal RNA (465 nucleotides) under Vreelandella stevensii. Its description in RNAcentral is "partial 16S ribosomal RNA". It matches the Rfam family "Bacterial small subunit ribosomal RNA", at positions 338 to 795 of the family's 1533-position model. Lineage: Bacteria; Pseudomonadati; Pseudomonadota; Gammaproteobacteria; Oceanospirillales; Halomonadaceae. The record is from RNAcentral.